This 178-nucleotide ribosomal RNA is filed under the name uncultured bacterium. RNAcentral's name for it is "partial 16S ribosomal RNA". It matches the Rfam family "Bacterial small subunit ribosomal RNA", at positions 1309 to 1500 of the family's 1533-position model. The record is from RNAcentral.
AACUCGCCUACAUGAAGCUGGAAUUGCUAGUAAUCACAGGUCAGCAUACUGCGGUGAAUACGUUCCCGGGCCUUGUACACACCGCCCGUCACACCAUGAGAGUUGAGAAUACCCGAAGCCCAUGUCAAAGUGGUCGAAGGUAGGCUUGAUGAUUGGGGUGAAGUCGUAACAAGGUACC